GAACAGCAAGAUCAGAGGCUGAAUUCUCCAACCCAGAUGAAUCUUUCCUUUCCCUUCUUUCUUUUUUCCCAAAGUUCUGCAACACAACAGAGACAAGAAGCAAAAGUUAAAAUAACCUGCAACACCUGCAUAACACUGAACAACACAAACUCAAAACAGUGUCCUCUUUCCCGUUCAAACCACUGCCUUUAACAAAGAAAAAAUUGAAGUCAACUUCUUCCCUUUUUCCAUCAAACACAAACCCUAAUUUUUGGGUAUAUAUAACAGCAACCCAAAACUCAGAAGGGAGGAGAAAUUCAGAGAAGAAAAAAGCCAAAAAACACAUUUUUCAUCACUUUUUUUCAUUCUUCGAAAUCACACCAAACACCUUCUAAACUCCAAUUUUCUUUCACUAAUCCCUUCUAAAACAUACCAGUAGCGAAACACACAAGGAAAAAACGAAGGAAAACCGUUGAGAGAAGCUUACUCAAACUCCAAAAUUGCAAAGAAAAGAGUGAGUUCCAACUCAUCUAAGCAAGC
RNAcentral lists this long non-coding RNA (519 nucleotides) under Trifolium pratense (red clover). RNAcentral describes it as "long non-coding RNA (TPRA_LNC006435)". Lineage: Eukaryota; Viridiplantae; Streptophyta; Magnoliopsida; Fabales; Fabaceae. The record is from RNAcentral.